GACGAACGCUGGCGGCGUGCUUAACACGUGCAAGUCGUACGGUAAGGCCCUUUCGGGGGUCCACGAGUGGCGAACGGGUGAGUAACACGUGAGUAACCUGCCCACAACUUUGGGAUAACGCUAGGAAACUGGUGCUAAUACUGGAUAUGUGCUCCUGCUGCAUGGUGGGGGUUGGAAAGCUCCGGCGGUUGUGGAUGGACUCGCGGCCUAUCAGCUUGUUGGUGGGGUAGUGGCCUACCAAGGCGGCGACGGGUAGCCGGCCUGAGAGGGUGACCGGCCACAUUGGGACUGAGAUACGGCCCAGACUCCUACGGGAGGCAGCAGUGGGGAAUAUUGCACAAUGGGCGCAAGCCUGAUGCAGCAACGCCGCGUGCGGGAUGACGGCCUUCGGGUUGUAAACCGCUUUCAGCAGGGACGAAGCUUUUUGUGACGGUACCUGCAGAAGAAGCACCGGCUAACUACGUG
RNAcentral lists this ribosomal RNA (465 nucleotides) under uncultured bacterium. RNAcentral describes it as "partial 16S ribosomal RNA". It matches the Rfam family "Bacterial small subunit ribosomal RNA", at positions 28 to 507 of the family's 1533-position model. The record is from RNAcentral.